AUUGAACGCUGGCGGCAUGCCUUACACAUGCAAGUCGAACGGCAGCACGGGAGCAAUCCUGGUGGCGAGUGGCGAACGGGUGAGUAAUAUAUCGGAACGUGCCCAGUCGUGGGGAUAACGUAGCGAAAGCUACGCUAAUACCGCAUACGAUCUAUGGAUGAAAGCGGGGGAUCGCAAGACCUCGCGCGAUUGGAGCGGCCGAUAUCAGAUUAGGUAGUUGGUGAGGUAAAGGCCCACCAAGCCGACGAUCUGUAGCUGGUCUGAGAGGACGACCAGCCACACUGGGACUGAGACACGGCCCAGACUCCCUACGGGAGGCAGCAGUGGGGAAUUUUGGACAAUGGGCGCAAGCCUGAUCCAGCAAUGCCACGUGCAGGAUGAAGG
RNAcentral lists this ribosomal RNA (384 nucleotides) under uncultured bacterium. RNAcentral's name for it is "bacterial SSU rRNA". It matches the Rfam family "Bacterial small subunit ribosomal RNA", at positions 30 to 414 of the family's 1533-position model. The record is from RNAcentral.